RNAcentral lists this unclassified non-coding RNA (345 nucleotides) under soil metagenome. Its description in RNAcentral is "partial contains 5.8S ribosomal RNA, internal transcribed spacer 2, and large subunit ribosomal RNA". The stretch from base 1 to 120 matches the Rfam family "5.8S ribosomal RNA", at positions 35 to 154 of the family's 154-position model. The record is from RNAcentral.
GAUGAAGAACGCAGCGAAAUGCGAUAAGUAGUGUGAAUUGCAGAAUUCCGUGAAUCAUCGAGUCUUUGAACGCACAUUGCGCCCCCUGGUAUUCCGGGGGGCAUGCCUGUCCGAGCGUCAUUGCUGCCCUCAAGCACGGCUUGUGUGUUGGGCCCCGUCCUCCGAUCCCGGGGGACGGGCCCGAAAGGCAGCGGCGGCACCGCGUCCGGUCCUCGAGCGUAUGGGGCUUUGUCACCCGCUCUGUAGGCCCGGCCGGCGCUUGCCGAUCAACCCAAAUUUUUAUCCAGGUUGACCUCGGAUCAGGUAGGGAUACCCGCUGAACUUAAGCAUAUCAAUAGCGGAGGA